RNAcentral lists this long non-coding RNA (13604 nucleotides) under Glycine max (soybean). RNAcentral's name for it is "long non-coding RNA (GMAX_LNC002789)". Lineage: Eukaryota; Viridiplantae; Streptophyta; Magnoliopsida; Fabales; Fabaceae. The record is from RNAcentral.
CCAUAUCAAAUUCUUUUGAGCAGCAGAGACUUAUUUCUAAUUCUCAUAUGUCACAUCCACCUUAUCACAAGCGACGAUCCCCAAAUAUGUUCUUAACUUCUUUCUGUGGCGACUCUGAUGCUACACCAGUAGGAGGAGGAGGAGAGCUGGGUGGUGUAGCCAUUUGCAUGUAAAGAAAAAAAAAACAUUAGUUAAUUAACAUUAUCACAAAACUGAAUAACUUCUGUAAAUGAAUGGACUGAAAUGAAAUACAUAAUAAGAAAAUUGCAUUAGACGAUGUUAAUUAAUUCUCCUUCAUCAUAAUCAUUAUGAUUAGCAUGAACGUUGUUAGCUUCUUCUUCUCCGACGAUGUUAGGCGAUAUUUGUGUGGAAAAAGGACUAACAUAAGUAUCAAUGUAUGAAUCAUCAUCUUCAACAUUAACACUAAUUGUUUUCCGGUGUAGAACCACGACCACCUUUCAUCACAAGGAUCUUGAACAUAAAAUACUUGUUUAGCUUGUUCUGCCAUGAUGAAAGGGUCAUUCUGGUAAGCGAGUUUCUUUAGAUCUACCAACAUAAAUCCUACAUCAUCGGUCCGCACAUCGGUAUUGUUAUCAACCCAUUUACAUUUGAAAACACAGACAGUAAAUUUGACAUAAGCUCCUAAAUUUCUUCAAUGAAACCAAAGUAAGGGAUGGAAGCAACAUGGGGAUUGUCAUCAUGUACACUAGCGAAGUGUUGAGAUUUAGCCCUUAGGGUGACCCCACUGUUUUGUAUUGUAGUUUUCUCAUCUUGUGCUUUUGUAUACAAGGAAUACUUGUUUAUAUCAUAUCCUUGCCAAGUUAUAACAUUUCUUUUAGGCCCAUCUGCUAGCUUUCUUAAUGUUUCAGAAGCAUUAUCAUCAGCGAAGAUUGUAUCUUUAAACCAAUCUAUGAAAGUCUUGUUAUGCUCUUUCAAGACCCUGUUCUUCGACAUUUUUGGAUUACUUUCCUUCCUUAAACCUUCAUGGUGAAGUAUGUAUGGAAAAACUUCAUUACUGCUAUUCAACAUAUACAAAUGAGCUUGUUGCAAAUCUUCUACACUUAGAGUGAUAACAUGUAGUCCUCUUGAACCCUUACCUCCCACUCUUUCGUCAUGUCGAGACUUGGGAAGCACAACAAGUUUAGCUUUUUCAAUGUACUCUGAACAAAAUUCAAUGGCUUCUUUUGCAAUGUACCUUUCAACAAUAGAUGCUUCCGAAUGAUGUAGAUUCUUGGUAUAUCCUUUUAAGAUCUUCGUAUAUCGCUCAACCGAGUACAUCCACCACAAAUAAAUAGGACCACAACAUUAGAUUUCUCUGACCAGAUGAACAGUUAAGUGAACCAUGAUGUCAAAGAAAGCAGGAGGAAGAUAUAUCUCCAACUGACACAAUAUAAUAGCAUCCUUGUUUUCCAUCUCAUCUAACUUCACAGGAUCAAGGACUUUGCUAUAUAUGACAUUAAAGAAAAAGCACAACCAAGUUAUGGCAAGCCUGACUUUAUUAGGCAAAAUGUCUCGUAUGGCCACAGCUAACAAUUGUUGCAUCAAGACAUGACAAUCAUGAGACUUUAACCCUACUAACUUAAGAUCCUUCAACUACACAAGGCUCUUAAUAUUUGAAGAGUAUCCUUGUGGGACUUUGAUCCGGCACAGACACAGACAAAAACUGAUCUUCUUCUUUUUUGACAAAGUAUUACAAGCUGGAGGCAAAUAUUUUUUUUUUACCAUCAGACCUUGGAUGUAAUUGUGCUCGUAUACCCAUCUCAGCUAGAUCUUGACGAGUAUUCAAACCAUAUUUCAUCUUGCCUUGAAUGUUAAGAAGCGUCCCAAUGACACAAUCACAUACAUUUUUCUCCACAUGCAUAACAUCAAUACAAUGUCUAACAUCUAGAUCAGACCAAUGCAGAAGAUCAAACAAAAUUGACCUCUUCUUCCAUAUGCAAGUCUUACUUUUUUCCUUCUUUUGGGUCUUUCCAAAUAUAGUAUUUAGGUGUUCAACCCGCUGGAAGACCUGGUCACUAGUUAAUGGUAUCGAUGCAGUUUCAUGCUCUUGACUUCCAUUAAAUGCUUUUUUAAUUGCCUGUAAGGGUGAUGAGGUUUUAGAAAAUGUCGAUGCCUAGUGUAGACUGUUUUUCUACCAUGUUUUAGUUGUAUGUAACUUGUGUCUUCUUCACAAAUUGGGCAUGCACGAUGGCCCUUAACACUGUAAUUGCUCAAAUUCCCAAAUGCUGGAAAGUCAUUAAUGGUACAAAAAAGCAUUGCACACAAAUGAAAAGUCUCAUUUCGAAACCCAUCAAAUACUAAAACCCCCUCGUUCCAUAACUUUGUCAAGUCUUCAAUCAACGGACUGAGAUAAACAUCGAUGUCAUUUCCUAGUUGUCUUGGGCUCGAUAUCAUCAUAAACAACAUCAUGUAUUUUUGCUUCAUGCAUAACCAAGGAGGCAAACUGUAAAUUACUAAAAAUCCUGGCCAUGAAUUGUGUUGAGUGCUUAAACUGCCAUAUGGAUUCAUUCCAUCAGUGGCUAGUCCAAGCCUAAGAUUUCUUGCCUCUUUGCCAAAAUCUGGAUACAAAUGAUCAAUCUCCUUCCACUAGGAGGAAUCAGCCGGAUGACGGAGCAUUCCAUCGCAGUUUCUCCCAUUUGCAUGCCAUGUAAGGUCUUUUGCGUUGUCUCCAUUAGCAAACAGACGCUUAAACCUUAGAAUGAUGGAAAGAUACCAUAACACCUUCACUGGGGGGCCCUUCUUUGAUUUUUCGUCACUACUACACUCGUCAUCAUCCUUCACUUUGUAGUGUGAUACACCACACCUAGGGCAUUUAGGCAUUUCUUGAAAUUCACGUAUGUACAGUAUGCAAUCAUUCGGGCAAGCAUGAAUCUUCUGAUACUCCAUACCCAUCGGACACAGUAUCUUAUUGGCUUGAUAGUGACUUUUAGGUAAUGUGUUUUUCUCUGGAAGCAUACCGUGCACUACUUGAAGCAACGAACUAAAAAUUUUGUCACUCCACCCAUAUUUGGCCUUCAUAUUAACCAGACUUAACACCACCGACAAUAACGUCAAGGAAUUAUUGCACCCCGGAUACAAAGGCUUCUUUGAAUCAGUUUGCAAUGUAUCAUACAUAGGGGCAUGUGCUUGCUGAAAAGACUCUUGUCCAAGGUCACGAAUCAUAUCCUCCAAGCGAUCUCCCAUUUCUACAUCAAACGGUUCAGAUUGGGACCCACUCUGCAUGUUUGUCAAUUCACCAUGCCAUAUCCAUGUUGUAUAAUUCUUCUUAAUCUCAUCACACAAUAGAUGCUCUCGUAUGUCAUUGAGUUUUUGCUAUCUCCCAUUCAAACAAUUUAUGCACGGACAAAAAAAAUUCCCAUUUUCAUCCGGUCGACUUCUUUCUAAAGCAAAUUGCAAGAACUAUUUCAUGCCUUCCUCAUACGCAGGGCUCAUGCAACUUUCAUUCAUCCAACUUCGACCCAUCUAAAUAAUAACUCUGUGAUACUCUGAAAGUUAUUCGAUGCAUGAAAAUCUCGCUUUUUCAUUUAAGGAGUGGCCCUAUCCCAUUCAGGAAGACAUUUUUUUUAUGAUAGAUUCAUAUGUCAAGGUUAAUCUUAUUUUUUAAAAUUUGAGGAAAUUUUGGCAGCAUUUCGCAUUGAUGUCUAAGUACACGACAUGAAAGCGGUGACAUUAAUUCCCUGACAAUCAAGUAUGCACUCAGAGAACAACUAGAAAUCAUUGUUUUGAAAUUUCAUCAAAUUCAAAAAAAUAAUCUUAACCUUAACACAUGAAUCUACCAUAAAAAUAUGACUCUUCCCAAAUUGUCCAAACAGAUAAUUCAAGAUUCAAUACAACAAUUAAUACAAAUUGUCUGCAAGAAUCAUUAUAUUCAAUCUCAAACAGGAAUCUAAGGUUCACUCAUGAUGAACAAAAGUUGUAUGUAAAGCAAAGUACAUUAAUGACAGACAACAACGUACAAAAACAUUCAUAACAAAAAUAAGCAUAAAAAGUUUAUCAAAAACUUUUGUACCUGUGAUGAUGAUCAGUAUAGUGUCCAACAACGAAUGUCGUGAUCAUGAUGCAAACAACUAGACAAAUAGUGCCUACAAAUUAAAUAUUUCAAUGCUAAGUGAUAUAUAACACAAACUUUGAUAUAUCAAGUAAAAUUCGAUCAUAUGAGCUGCUUGUAUUGCUGUCAGGACUUUUACCAAAUCCACAACUUGAAACUUCAAUUCUGUUAGUUUGGUAUGUAUGUUACAUUAUUUUGGUUUUCUAUAAACUGCAACUCAUCUACAAUUUCAUUUUGUACCAAUCUAUUUUGAAGAUUUUAUAAAUUAUUGUGACUGAACUAAUUUUUUGUCAUUUUUCUACAGCCUCAACACCAUUACAACUCUCUAUACGAUGCCCUAUGGAAUUGGUGUUGUAGCAAGGUUGCAUCAUAGACAUACUCAUUCUUCAUAGUUUAAAUAUUACACUAUGCUGCCUUGAGCAUGCAUCUAGACUAAUUAUCUUUUCUCCUUUUUUAUUAUAGCACAAGGGUUUCAAAUGAGUUAGGAGCCAGGAAUUCACAUGUUGCACGUGUUGUCGUGUUAGCAGCAAUGUCUCUUGCAGUAAUUGAGACAAGUAUAGUAAAUGAUAUUGGGUGGUGCAGGUUUUGCUAGGGAUUUUUUGGUGCCAAACUGGUUGGGAUGAAAACAACCACUAGUUUCUGCCACAUCCUUUUUUUGCUUAAAAAAUGUACUUUCAGGGUGAACUAUGUGUUUUACCUGGUAGAAAUUUGUAGAAUUUCUCAAAUCAAACUUAAUCAUGUAGACACAUAAUAUGGCAUGUUCUAUUUUAACUUGUCACAACCUACCUCACGACGGGACGACGAUGGCAUGUUUUCCCUUUUUUAUAUUUUUUGGGGUCGACAAGGGGGCUACCCUUGCUCCUACGUAUCCUCAGGUGCGAUGAGAAAUUUAGACCUAUGUAGUUCUUUAAGUUUGAAUGUUUGUGUGUUAAAUUGAUUUUUAUGUUUUUGAAAGAUUUAUUUUAAUUGCGAACAAAAAGUCGUUUAAGGUGUUGGACCUUGAAAUGAUGUUUUAAAUUUUGAAAAGUGGAGAGAAUCGUUAAGGCAUUGGAUCUUGAAAUGAUCUUUUAAAUAUGAAAAGUGGAGAGAAGUUAGUUAUGAGCUGGUUUUAUCUUGGUUUUGUUUAUUAACUUUCAAUCUCUUCAAAGACAACUUUACAACACUAGUGAUUGGUUAAGAUUGAACUUUACAAAGAAAAACGAGAUUGCUGAUGAUAGAUGGAGAAGAUGGAUGUGCACAUAAUAACAAGGGGGACCCCUAAGGGUACAUAGAUCACAUUCAAUCCUCAAAAAUAAAACUAACCGAUGGUUACACGAAGAACACAGAACAAGAAAACGACGUAGGGAAUGAUCGCAGUCGUGAUUCGGUAGCGCCUUAGCUUCGUUUCCUCUUCUUUCUUCUUCUUCAUUCUUAGUUUUCUCAAUUCCCUCCACUUCUGAACGAUGGAACUCUUUAAAACACCCCUAGGAUGCCUAUUUAUAGGCAAAAUACCACUUUGGGACAGUUGCAGCUCACCCAGGUGAGCUGAAACUUAACCCUGAAGCAGUGAGCUCGCCCAGGCAAGCUGGAGCUCGCCUAGGCAAAAGACCAUUUUUCCCUCUUCUCUUGGUAUCUUUUGUCUUCCUGAUCGAAACACUAAAUGAUUCCUUGCUUUGCAAUGUAACUGGCAUUCAAGACCGUAAGAUGACUAGCAAGGAUCAAAGGAUCAAUGAACGAUAGUCCCUAAACGAAAUUAGGGUAUGACAUAACUUAAUAGAGAAUUGUGAUCAUCAUGAAAUAUGGAUUUACACAGUUGGAUCAUCCGUUACUGUGUUCAAAUAUUUGAUGAUCACUGAAGAAUGGCGAAAAGUUUACCAAAUUUUCUAAGCAAUUGACUUAAUCAUGAAAUAAUUUGAUUGCAGUUGUUCAUAUGCUAAUAUAGCUCAAUAGGCAUCUAGUAUAAGAAGUGAAAUAAGUUUUUAUCGUUAUACAUCACAGGUAGGUACUUCAUUGUCACUCUUUUCCAUAAGCCACUCUAGAUUCAUUUGUUUGGUACUUAUACAUCUCUAGUUGUUUCUCUCCAAAGAUUGAAUGUCUAAUGUAAUUUAUAAUUUCUCAUGCUUCAGAGCAAUUUAUAAUUGUUGUUUUGAGAUGGACCUGUUGGAUGGAUCAACUGCAAUGUUACAAAAGAUACUAUAGGGAACCAUUCUUAUAGUUGGAAUUGUGUGACCUUGAGUAGCAAUACAUCAGAAAGACACAAAGGGCUUUAGCUCCACUUGUAUUUCCUAUAUCUUAAGUUAUCUGCUAGCAAUAGAUCAAAUUAAUUUGUUUUGAAUAAGAAAAUUGAUUAUCAAUGAUUGUUCCCUUCUCUUUCUACCAAUUCAUAUAUCUAAGAAAAUUCAGAAAAACAGAAUUGCUUUUACAUGUUCCACGACUUUGAAUAAUGGUGGUUCCCAGCGAGAUCCAAUGUUUCUCUAACUGUAGCAAGAAAAUCACACAAAUAAUAAAUUCUACAACAUGCUUAAAUUCGAUUAUGAAAAAUCAGAUGCAGCAUUGGCUUUUUUCUUUCUGUAGUUGCCAUACCUAUGCCUAUUCUGAAAUCUGUAUUAUUAAUCUCUUACCAGUUAAUUACAAAGCAUGUUAAUUAUGAUUCCACCGUCAUUCAAAUACUAUUGGACCUAAAUAAAUGAAUCAACGAUAAUGCCUACAAACUCAUGGACUAAAUGUAUGAAGAUCAAACUCAUAAGAAAAGUCAUGUGUUGGAUUUGCACGCGCUCAUGUUAAGGCUCCACUUGUACUUGAAUUUCACAUCAAAGUCAUGUGCCUUCUCUUUCCAAAUUCAACUGAAACACUAAGUUUUUUGGUUAAAUCUGUUAACUAUUACACUUUUACAAAAAAAAAAAUGAAUUGAAUUGCUUAUUCGCUUCUCAAUUGAUUACAGUAGGAACCUUGCUUAUAUAGCAGGUUAAUAGUAACUGCUUGUUGGUUAUAAGAAAACAAACUUAACCAACCUUAUAACUACCAGUUUACAGCUUUUUAAAAAUUUGAAUUAUUCCUAACAUUCCUCCUUAAUUCAAAGUUGCAUUUACACAAACAACUCCAAUGGAAUCUCUUAAACAUCUAAAUCUUUCUAGCUUCAAAGCCUUAGUGAGUAUGUCUGCAAGCCGAACUUCAGUUCUGCAAUGCUCAUUCAAAGCCUUAGUGAGUAUGUCUGCAAGCCGAACUUCAGUUCUGCAAUGCUCAAUCUUCAGCUUUUCAUUAUUGACUUGCUCUCUUAGGAAGUGAAACUUUGUUUCUAUGUGUUUACUUCUUCCAUGGGAAGCUGGAUGCUUUGCUAAAUCAAUGGCGGAUUUAUUGUCUACCAACAGCUUCACCUUUCCUGAUUUUUCCAGCUGCAACUCCUUAAUCAGGGCAUCCAACCACACAGCUUGGCAUGCAGCUUCUGAGGCUGCAAUAUACUCUGCUUCACAGGAUGACAGUGCUACCACUGGUUCCUUGGUGGAGGACCAAGAGAUUGGUGCUCCUCCAUAAAAGAAAAUGUAUCCUGCAGUGCUUUUCCUAUCAUUUUUAUCCCCACACCAAUCAGAAUCAGAGAAUCCAGUCAAUUCUGGUCCUAUGUCAGCUCCACCUUUAGGAAAUAGAAUUCCAAAAUUGGUUGUCCCUUGAACAUACCUCAUAAUCCUCUUAGCAGCUAGCAAGUGAGACUGCCUUGGUUCUUGCAUAAAUCUGCUGAUUAGCCCAACACUGAAGUUUAAAUCAGGCCUUGUAUUGCAUAAGUACCUCAAGCACCCAACUAUUUUCCUGUAGUGAGUGGGGUCAACUGGUUCUUCAUCAGUUUCCUUCUCUAACACAAGGCCAACCUCUGCUGGUGUUCCUGCUGGAUUGCUCUGGUGCAUAUUAAAUAUCUUCAGCAGGUCUUGUGCAUAUUUUGACUAAUGCAUCAUUGUACCAUAUUGAGUCAUUCUAAACUCCAUUCCAAGGAAAUAGGAGAGAAGUCCAAGAUCACUCAUCUCAAAUUCAUUCAUCAUUUGAUUUUUGAAUGCAGUAAUCUCUUCCUCAAUGCUUCCAGUAAUCAAAAGGUCAUCAACAUAUAGACAUACAAUCAAUGUCUCUAAUUUGCUGUCCUGCAGACAUCUCACAUGCAAUCCAUGUUCUGAGGUGCAUUUCUUGAAGCCAAUCUGUGACAGGAAGCUAUUGAUUCUCCUAUUCCAAGCUCUUGGAGCCUGUUUGAGGCCAUACAAUGCUUUCUUCAGCUUGUACACUUUGUUUUCUGAACCCUUCACUACAAACCUUUGUGGCUGAAGCACAUAAACUUCUUCAUCUAAUGGACCAUUUAGGAAAGCAGAUUUAACAUCUAGUUGGUGCAGGGACCAGUUAGCAUUAGUUGCAAUGGCUACAACAAAUCUGACAGUUUCAAUCCUAGCCACUGGUGCAUAGACUUCACCAUAAUCAAUUCCAGCCUUUUGCAGAAAACCUUUUGCUACAAGUCUGGCCUUAUGUUUCACCACUUCCCCCUUUGGGUUAACCUUCACUUUAUAAACCCAUUUUAGUGCUAUAGGCUUCUUGUUUGAAGGAGGAUCCACUAAUUCCCAUGUAUGAUUUUUUUUCUAUAGAGUCAAUCUCCUUCUUCAUAGCCCUCACCCACAUUUUAUUAGUCACUGCUUUAUCAAAUUCGAUAGGUUGAGCUUCUGCUAUGAGUGCAAAAUGGACCAAUUCUCCUUCUAAGUUGACUUCUGAAUCCUGAAACAGCUCAUAGUCCUUCAAAGUUAUUGGUAGCUGACUUGUCCUUGAUGAUUUCCUUACACUAGGAACUUGGUUAGUAGUUGGUGCAGCUGGAGGUGUUUCUUCUUCUAACAAUAUCCUGGACUGACUUUCACUAGAAAUUGAAUUCCAAUUCCAGCUUCUACUUUCAUCACAAAUAACAUCCCUGUUGAUGGAUACUUGACCACUUUCUGGAUUAUACAGGUUGUAGCCUCCAGUUGAGUGAUAACCAAUUAGGAUAUGUGGCAUGCCCUUAUCAUCAAGCUUUCUUCUAAGUUGAUCAGGAACAUGCUUGUAGCAUAUUGACCCAAAGAUCCUCAGGUGUGUAACACUCGGUUUGGCUCCAGUCCAUGCUUCCUCUGGUGAAGUAUCUAUCAAUCUCUUAGUGGGAGAUCUAUUUAAUAUGUAUGCAGCAGUUGAUACAGCUUCUCCCCACAAGAAACAUGGUAGGUUUUUGCUCUUAAGCAUGCAUCUCACCAUGUUCAGCAGUGUUCUGUUCCUCCUCUCAGUUGUGCCAUUGUGUUGAGGUGUGUAAGGUGGUGUAACCUCAUGAAUUAGCCCCUCACUUUCACAAAAUUCUUUGAACUCUUUUGACACAUACUCACCCCCACCAUCAGUUCUUAGUACCUUAAUCAUUUUUCCACUUUGCUUUUCAACAAAGCAUUUGAAUUUCUUAAAGACAUCUAGGACUUCAUGCUUCCUUUUAAUCAGAUAAAUCCAAACUUUCCUAGUUAAGUCAUCAAUGAAAGAGAUGAAAUACCUGCUGCCUCCAGGAGUUUCUGUUUGUAUAGGACCACACACAUCAGGAUGGAUGACCCCCUAGCUUCUCAGUUGCUUUGGUAGGAACAAACUUGCUGAAGUUUCCUCUAGUUUGCUUGCAUUCAAUGCACUCUCUGCACACCUCAUUAGGGACUACAAUAUGGGGUAAUCCUUCAACCAUCUUGUGGCUAGUAAGUAGGUGCAGAUCCUUGAAGUUGAGAUGACCAAACCUGAGGUGCCACAACCAUUCCUCCUUAUUUUCAGAGGUUGCAAAGCACUGAUGCUUCAGAAUAUUCAUCCCAAUCCUAAAUGUCCAGUUCUGGGACAGAUUUGCUUGGAUAACCAGCUUUUGAUUUCUAUCAAAUACCUUGAGGCAAUUGUCUUUCAUUGUCAUAACAAAUCCCUUUUGCAGUAGUUGCCCAAGACUCAACAGAUUUGUUUUUAGGCCAGGCACAUAUAGAACCUCCUCAAUGACUAUUUCUUUUCCAUUUGUGUCUCUGAAAGCCACUUUGCCAAUGCCUUCUACAAUGAGACUACUAUCAUCUGCAAACCGGACUUUGCUCUUUGAUGAGUCAUCCGAACUGAUGAACCAUUCCUUCUUCCCUGUCAUGUGAGUGGAACAUCCAGAAUCCAAGUACCAAGAGGUGUCAAUGGAGGAUUCCUUACUUGUGGUUGCCAUGAGCAUUACAGCUUCAGAAUCUGAUCCUUCAUCCUGUGCCAGAUUUGCCUGAUUCUUUGGCUUAUUUUUAGCACCUUCUCCUUGCCAACAGUCUCGUGCAUAGUGACCAAGUUUUUGACAAUUGUGGCAUCUCACUUUCCUCUUAUCAAACUUCCAUUCCUUGCUGCCAUUUGAGCUAUCAUUUUUCUUCUGUGAUUGAUCACUUUUCUUUCCUUUAAAGAAUUCACUGCCUGCAUUAUAUCCUUGAUCUUGGUGUUUCUAAUUACUGCAUGGCUUAUUUCCCUUCCAUGGUCCUUUCCCUUUUCCUUUGUAGUUGGAUCUUGCUUGAAGUGCCUGUUCUUGAUUGGAUCUUCUCUCAUUGAUCCUCGUUUCAUGUGCCUCUAGGGAGUGCUGCAAUUCUUCAAUCUCCAUGUCAUCUAAGUUCCUUAACUCUUCAAUUGCAAUAACCACAUGAUCAAAUCGUGGUGGCAAUGUUCUCAAGAUCUUGUCUACCACUAGUUCAUCAAGGAUCUUGUCAUUACACGACCUCAUGGCAUUAACCAGUUCUUGAAUCCUAUCAAAGUAAUCUGAAAUUGAUUCUUUCUCUUCCAUGCAUAGUAAUUCAUAUUGCCUUCUCAAAGUCUGUAGCUUCACUUUCUUGUUCUUUUCUCCAUCACCAUAUGUUUUCAUCAAAAUCUCCCAUGCUUCCUUAGAGGUAGAGGCCUUCGAGAUCUUGUUGAAAAUCUUUGAGUUCACACAAUGGUAGAUGAGAAAUCGAGCUUUGCAGUCAAGUUUUUGCUUCUGUUUGAAAUCCAAUUGCUGUUCUUCAGUGGCUUUCCUUCCAGGAUCUUCAAACCCAAAUGUCACCACUUCAAAUACAUCUUGGAAGCCAAAGAUUGUCAGCAUCUUGACCUUCCAAUUAUCAAACAGUUUUCCAUCGAAAACCGGUAAAGAUCCUUGAAUGAUACUAUUUGAGCCAGCCAUGUUGCACCUUGAUCCUCCUUCACUUUCCUAUACACAACUGCUAUCUCAGAGGUUCCUCUACACGCGUUCUUGACUACCAAGAACCCUACUCAGCCACCACAAUCACAGAUAUGAUAGUGAAAACAAUGAAGAAUCACUCACAAAUCACAGUUCUCACAAAAAGAAUCUCAAGAAGAAGGGUUUCCCUCAGUUUUUUUGGUGUCAAUAGAAGCUUGCUCUCCCUCUUUCUAAUCUUCACAGGUCAGGUUCGUAUAAGCUCUAGAUACCAUGUUAACUAUUACACUUUUACAGAAAAAAUGAAUUGAAUUGCUUAUUCACUUCUCAAUUGAUUACAGUAGGAACCUUGCUUAUAUAGCAGGUUAAUAGUAACUGCUUGUUGGUUAUAAGAAAACAAACUUAACCAACCUUAUAACUACCAGUUUACAGCUUUUUAAAACUUUGAAUUAUUCCUAACAAAAUCAUGCCAGCCAUUAGUGAAUGUCGCUUCCCCUGAAAGGGAUUAGUAAGUACAAAAACACCAACCUUAUCUUCAAUAGUAAUGUGACUAAACUAAAGCUAACACGUUAUCCUCUCAAACAGAAGACCUUCUUUAACUUUGUUGAUCAUCAAGCAGUUCAAAUGAAAGGCAUGAAAUAAUGAUUUUCACUUAAGCCUUGAAGAUGAACCCAACAAAGAUAAACCAGAACUUCAACAUCACUCCCUCUCUUUGGUCCACUCCUACUUCCAAGACCUUGAUUUGUUCUACUACUUAAAAAUGGGUUCAACAUGUGACUUACAAGCUUGUCAAAUAAUGUCUCAUUGCUUAUAAAAAAUGAUUGGCACUCAAACACUUCCACAGUCUUACAUUUUAUCUUUUAAGCAUAAAAGUGUCAAAGAUAAGAUCCUUAGCAUGUAUAACUUAUCUUUGUGGACCUUUGGGAUAAGUCCUCAAGAUGUCCAGCUAUAAUGGGUCCUAGUAAAAUUGGCAAGAUGAAAUUUGAGUCACAAAGAGGCUUAUAGCUACACUAAUGAGAUGGAGGCCACUUGGGACAUGUUAUUUCAAAUGUUGGGGUUUUGUUCUAUUUUUGGUCAGAAAUGUGAGGAAAGAAAGUUCCAGGCUGGUGGGGAGGCCUACUUUGACUUACUAUCUGUUGUGUCUUUUAAAGAACAGCGAUGGAAAAAGUUAGGUGAUAUGUGUAGCUUAGGAUGUGACUAACUGAGACUACACAGGACCAGUGUGGCAACAUUCCCUUUAGGGAAACACUUAUGAAUUUGUGUUCAAAUUAUGUGAGUGGAAGAUAUAUUACUUUGCUUAUUGCAACUAAAAAUAUGAGGUCCAUUUGAAAUUGGAACAACUAGAAGAUAACAAAUCAGAAUUGAAUAAUUCAGCAUGAAUAAAUAGGAGACCUAUCUAUAACUUGUGUUGUAUUGGUUAGGGCUCGAGACAAAGCAAAAAUAACUUUUAAACUCCACCCUAAAGGUGAACAAUUCCUUUAAUUUUGUAUUAAUUAUUUUGUUGUGAAUUUAUGUCCAAAAUUCAUUUCUUUCUUGUAAAUCCAUUUGUGAUUACACGACGAUGCGUGUUUUUCCCUCUUCAUCACUAUUACAAAUUUUUAAUUUGUGACUAUAACACACUGAGUUUUGAUGGCAUAAUUCAAGCAAGUGUUUAGCAUCAUCUAAUUUAUAUUUGGCAUGAAGUAUACAUAGCCCUAUUGGGGGCGUCUACGAUUUUGUGAUAGGAGAAUUCAAGCUUUGGAAGUAUGAGUCUCACAUCACUGAACCCAUUUCCAUCCCUAUCUGUACCCAUCAGUAAUGGAUGACUCAAACUUCGCACCACUCACUACCAUCUUAUCAAGUUCUUACUACAAAGUUGUGAUGUACUAUGUGCGCUUUUAUAUCCUAAAUAAAUAGCAUCUACUUUUGACAUUCCAGCAGCUUUUGAUGAGCAAGAUGCCUGCCUAGCAGCUUAAAACUUCUCCAUAGAUCUUUUAAGAUCCUCAGACUUUGUGUUGAUUAACCAGUUCAAAAUUCAACUACAGCAACUCUGUAUUUUGGUUGACACCUAUAUUGGCCUAAACACUUGUAUUGGAGAUUAUAACAAUCAAUGUUAAGAUUAUAGUAUAGGUUAAAAUUUUCUAAUUAAUUGUUGAAUUUUGUCAAUUUCAGCCAGAGUGAAUGUUGAAGAGUGGGUGGUGUGCAUUACAGUGUUACUGUGUUUGGUGAGAUCAUGGUCAUACCAUGCCUAUGUUAUGUAUGUCCUGGGUUUGGUGUGAGAUAGUGACUCCUCAAAGCUCAAAACACACAACAAUAAAAGAAAAACCAGAACAUUAUUACAUUUGCCAUGAUACUAUACACAUUACAACAGACACCUAGCUAGCUAGCCAUUAAGCAUGCAAAGGAUACUAUGAAUCUGAAUUUGAAUUACCUUACUCAAAA